Molecule: regulatory RNA element, 173 nt
Organism: Cyanothece sp.
Lineage: Bacteria; Bacillati; Cyanobacteriota; Cyanophyceae; Gomontiellales; Cyanothecaceae
Rfam family: Ribosomal protein L10 leader
About the family: This family is a putative r-protein leader autoregulatory structure found in B. subtilis and other low-GC Gram-positive bacteria. It is located in the 5' untranslated regions of mRNAs encoding ribosomal proteins L10 and L12 (rplJ-rplL).
Source: Rfam
GUCUAAAAAAGGCUAGUGCCGAAGACAGCAGGAGCAUUAUGCUUAAUAACCUGCCGAGGUAGAAGCCAAAACAAGAAAAAAGUUAACCCAAAGUCAGCUUUGAUUUUUAGUGUAAUACUUUUGUCCUUGUUGGUUUCAACCCCGGCAAACGCCAGGGGUUUCUUUAUGGCCGA